GAGCAAUUAUGUUGUGCAUCACUUGUUUCGUAAAUAUAUAUCACUGUUAUUAUCAUUAUUAUUAUUUUUUUCACUUUCUCUUCCUUUUCUGUUUUAUCUCAACCUAUGAGUUCUACUUAGCUGUUGUUUUUUUGUUUGUUUGUCUUUUUUUUCUCUUUUUUUUUGCCUUUUUCUCUUCCACCCCAGUGGGAAGGGGGAGUGAGCAAAGAACUGUGUUGUGUUUAGCUGCUUGCUGAGUUAAACAACAACAUAAGGUAAGAUUGAUCCUUUUUAAUUUAAAGAACUUCAAAGGCCUCAUGCAUGUGGAAAACACACUGUGUAAUUCCCUGUCUUCCUUUAGUACUUCAGUUAAUUCUGAAGUUGAGAGACUGGUAAUCUGAAAUACUAAUGAGAAAAAUAUUAUUGGAUUUAUUUUUUUUAUUAUUUUUUUAUUUUUUUGCUUUUGGUUUUUUUUUUUUUUUUUUUUUUUUUUUUUUUUUUUUUUUUUUUUUUUUUUUUUUUUUUUUUUUUACUGAGAUGUUUUUUUUUUUUUUUUGUUUGUUUUUUU
Molecule: long non-coding RNA, 547 nt
Filed under: Gallus gallus (chicken)
Lineage: Eukaryota; Metazoa; Chordata; Aves; Galliformes; Phasianidae
Description: lncRNA (ENSGALG00010001029.1)
Source: RNAcentral